GAUGAACGCUGGCGGCGUGCCUAAUACGUGCAAGUCGAGCGAACAGACGAGGAGCUUGCUCCUCUGACGUUAGCGGCGGACGGGUGAGUAACACGUGGAUAACCUACCUAUAAGACUGGGAUAACUUCGGGAAACCGGAGCUAAUACCGGAUAAUAUAUUGAACCGCAUGGUUCAAUAGUGAAAGACGGUUUUGCUGUCACUUAUAGAUGGAUCCGCGCCGCAUUAGCUAGUUGGUAAGGUAACAGCUUACCAAGGCAACGAUGCGUAGCCGACCUGAGAGGGUGAUCGGCCACACUGGAACUGAGACACGGUCCAGACUCCUACGGGAGGCAGCAGUAGGGAAUCUUCCGCAAUGGGCGAAAGCCUGACGGAGCAACGCCGCGUGAGUGAUGAAGGUCUUCGGAUCGUAAAACUCUGUUAUUAGGGAAGAACAAAUGUGUAAGUAACUAUGCACGUCUUGACGGUACCUAAUCAGAAAGCCACGGCUAACUACGUG
RNAcentral lists this ribosomal RNA (497 nucleotides) under uncultured bacterium. RNAcentral's name for it is "partial 16S ribosomal RNA". It matches the Rfam family "Bacterial small subunit ribosomal RNA", at positions 28 to 507 of the family's 1533-position model. The record is from RNAcentral.